AUUGAACGCUGGCGGCAGGCUUAACACAUGCAAGUCGAGCGGGGGAAGGUAGCUUGCUACUGGACCUAGCGGCGGACGGGUGAGUAAUGCUUAGGAAUCUGCCUAUUAGUGGGGGACAACAUCUCGAAAGGGAUGCUAAUACCGCAUACGUCCUACGGGAGAAAGCAGGGGAUCUUCGGACCUUGCGCUAAUAGAUGAGCCUAAGUCGGAUUAGCUAGUUGGUGGGGGAAAGGCCUACCAAGGCGACGAUCUGUAGCUGGUCUGAGGGGAUGAUCCGCCAAACUGGGACUGAGACACGGCCCAGACUCCUACGGGAGGCAGCAGUGGGGAAUAUUGGACAAUGGGGGGAACCCUGAUCCAGCCAUGCCGCGUGUGGGAAGAAGGCCUUAUGGUUGUAAAGCACUUUAAGCGAGGAGGAGGCUACUGAGACUAAUACUCUUGGAUAGUGGACGUUACUCGCAGAAUAAGCACCGGCUAACUCUGUGCCAGCCGCCGCCGUAA
RNAcentral lists this ribosomal RNA (501 nucleotides) under uncultured bacterium. Its description in RNAcentral is "partial 16S ribosomal RNA". It matches the Rfam family "Bacterial small subunit ribosomal RNA", at positions 30 to 523 of the family's 1533-position model. The record is from RNAcentral.